GACGAACGCUGGCGGCGUGCUUAACACAUGCAAGUCGUACGGUAAGGCCCUUUCGGGGGUCCACGAGUGGCGAACGGGUGAGUAACACGUGAGUAACCUGCCCACAACUUUGGGAUAACGCUAGGAAACUGGUGCUAAUACUGGAUAUGUGCUCCUGCUGCAUGGUGGGGGUUGGAAAGCUCCGGCGGUUGUGGAUGGACUCGCGGCCUAUCAGCUUGUUGGUGGGGUAGUGGCCUACCAAGGCGGCGACGGGUAGCCGGCCUGAGAGGGUGACCGGCCACAUUGGGACUGAGAUACGGCCCAGACUCCUACGGGAGGCAGCAGUGGGGAAGAUUGCACAAUGGGCGCAAGCCUGAUGCAGCAACGCCGCGUGCGGGAUGACGGCCUUCGGGUUGUAAACCGAUUUCAGCAGGGACGAAGCUUUUUGUGACGGUACCUGCAGAAGAAGCACCGGCUAACUACGUG
This 465-nucleotide ribosomal RNA is filed under the name uncultured bacterium. Its description in RNAcentral is "partial 16S ribosomal RNA". It matches the Rfam family "Bacterial small subunit ribosomal RNA", at positions 28 to 507 of the family's 1533-position model. The record is from RNAcentral.